This is a long non-coding RNA of Mus spicilegus (steppe mouse), 671 nucleotides long. The record is from Ensembl. Lineage: Eukaryota; Metazoa; Chordata; Mammalia; Rodentia; Muridae.
AUGGGGCCCAGUGUUCUCAGACUUCUGCAACGGAACAAGUUCUCUGUCGGUUUGGUCAUUUCACUGACCAUCUUGGCCUGUUUGUGGACUCUCAGAAAGCUUCUGGGAAGUCUGAAGUCUUCAUUUCUUCCCAGGAGUACUUACAGACCAACACUGAGAGAAAAAGAAAAGGAUUCAUUAGACAUUGUUUUCCAGCCUUUCCAACGAGGAAGUAAAGAGACUAGUCCACCCUCUGUUGAUUGCUAUGAAUGGCCAUCUUUUCCUGGGUUUGGUCUCAUCUUAGCACUGGACAAAAUGAUCAAAAAAACAGCUGCCUACCCACAAAACUAAGUUGCCUUUAACCUAUGAAGAAUCUGGAUGUCUGGACUGAAAGCAGUUCCAGGAAGCAGCAGAGGUUGCAGCUACCCCGAAUGUGCCCAUUUGCACUUCUCUGGAAAUGAUCAAUAGACAGCGUGGGUUCAUCCUCACCUUCUUCCCGCCCCACGCCCACUUGUGAGGUAAAGUACUGACCCAAGAGACUCUGAGUUACCACUUCAUCAAGCAAGAAAUUAGCAUGUAGAUCAGACUGUAUCACCGGACACAUCACAAAAGCUGGUAAUUCUGGAGAAACUUUUAAAUGCUGUUUUUUAUUGGGUCUCUUGGGGGAAUAUUUCAUAAAAUCAUUAAGGAAC